Ribosomal RNA from Gossypium arboreum, 113 nucleotides. The record is from Rfam. Lineage: Eukaryota; Viridiplantae; Streptophyta; Magnoliopsida; Malvales; Malvaceae.
GGGUGCGAUUAUACAAGCACUAAUACACCGGAUCCCAUCAGAACUCCGCAGUUAAGCGUGCUUGGCCGAGUGUAGUACUAGGAUCGGUGAGCAACGCUAUUUGGUCGUAUUUA